UGGGGAUGACGUCAAGUCCUCAUGGCCUUUAUGCCUAGGGCUACACACGUGCUACAAUGGGCGGUACAAAGGGUAGCGAUGCCGCGAGGCGAAGCCAAUCCCAAAAAGCCGUCCUCAGUUCGGAUUGGAGUCUGCAACUCGACUCCAUGAAGCCGGAAUCGCUAGUAAUCGCGGAUCAGCAUGCCCGCGGUCCGAAUACGUUCCGGGCCUU
Molecule: ribosomal RNA, 211 nt
Filed under: uncultured Desulfobacterium sp.
Lineage: Bacteria; Pseudomonadati; Thermodesulfobacteriota; Desulfobacteria; Desulfobacterales; Desulfobacteriaceae
Description: partial 16S ribosomal RNA
Rfam family: Bacterial small subunit ribosomal RNA
Source: RNAcentral